AGUCCACUUAAGCCUAGCUUAGUGUUGGGAGACUGCUCCAGCGGUGCUACUCUGUAGCUACCCUGCAGCUCCUUAAAGACAGCGGCGGAGUUGUGGUAUCCUCUGAGCUUAGUAACUUAUUCUAGCUUUCGAGUAUAUCACUUCCCCUGCCGUAAAACCCUUAAUUUUAAU
Molecule: unclassified non-coding RNA, 171 nt
Filed under: uncultured Xylariales
Lineage: Eukaryota; Fungi; Ascomycota; Sordariomycetes; Xylariales
Description: sequence contains ITS2
Source: RNAcentral